This 498-nucleotide ribosomal RNA is filed under the name uncultured bacterium. RNAcentral describes it as "partial 16S ribosomal RNA". It matches the Rfam family "Bacterial small subunit ribosomal RNA", at positions 28 to 507 of the family's 1533-position model. The record is from RNAcentral.
GACGAACGCUGGCGGCGUGCCUAAUACAUGCAAGUCGAGCGAACCAAUAAGAAGCUUGCUUUUUGUUGGUUAGCGGCGGACGGGUGAGUAACACGUGGGUAACCUGCCUGUAAGACCGGGAUAACUCCGGGAAACCGGUGCUAAUACCGGAUAGAUUAUCUUUCCGCAUGGAGAGAUAAGGAAAGAUGGCUAUUGCCAUCACUUACAGAUGGGCCCGCGGCGCAUUAGCUAGUUGGUGAGGUAACGGCUCACCAAGGCGACGAUGCGUAGCCGACCUGAGAGGGUGAUCGGCCACACUGGGACUGAGACACGGCCCAGACUCCUACGGGAGGCAGCAGUAGGGAAUCUUCCGCAAUGGACGAAAGUCUGGCGGAGCAACGCCGCGUGAGCGAAGAAGGUCUUCGGAUCGUAAAGCUCUGUUGUUAGGGAAGAACAAGUAUCGGAGGAAAUGCCGGUACCUUGACGGUACCUGACGAGAAAGCCACGGCUAACUACGUG